RNAcentral lists this ribosomal RNA (497 nucleotides) under uncultured bacterium. Its description in RNAcentral is "partial 16S ribosomal RNA". It matches the Rfam family "Bacterial small subunit ribosomal RNA", at positions 28 to 507 of the family's 1533-position model. The record is from RNAcentral.
GAUGAACGCUGGCGGCGUGCCUAAUACAUGCAAGUCGAACGAACAGAUAAGGAGCUUGCUCCUUUGACGUUAGCGGCGGACGGGUGAGUAACACGUGGAUAACCUACCUAUAAGACUGGGAUAACUUCGGGAAACCGGAGCUAAUACCGGAUAACAUCUUGAACCGCAUGGUUCAAUAGUGAAAGGCGGCUUUGCUGUCACUUAUAGAUGGAUCCGCGCCGUAUUAGCUAGUUGGUAAGGUAACGGCUUACCAAGGCAACGAUACGUAGCCGACCUGAGAGGGUGAUCGGCCACACUGGAACUGAGACACGGUCCAGACUCCUACGGGAGGCAGCAGUAGGGAAUCUUCCGCAAUGGGCGAAAGCCUGACGGAGCAACGCCGCGUGAGUGAUGAAGGUCUUCGGAUCGUAAAACUCUGUUAUCAGGGAAGAACAAAUGUGUAAGUAACUGUGCACAUCUUGACGGUACCUGAUCAGAAAGCCACGGCUAACUACGUG